Molecule: transfer RNA, 72 nt
Filed under: Bos taurus (domestic cattle)
Lineage: Eukaryota; Metazoa; Chordata; Mammalia; Artiodactyla; Bovidae
Also listed under: 3 other names
Rfam family: tRNA
About the family: Transfer RNA (tRNA) molecules are approximately 80 nucleotides in length. Their secondary structure includes four short double-helical elements and three loops (D, anti-codon, and T loops).
Source: Rfam by way of RNAcentral
UCCCUGGUGGUCCAGUGGCUAACACUCUGAGCUCCCAUUGCAGGGGCCCAGGUUCAAUCCCUGGUCAGGGAG